This 324-nucleotide small RNA is filed under the name Pan troglodytes (chimpanzee). RNAcentral's name for it is "processed transcript". The record is from RNAcentral. Lineage: Eukaryota; Metazoa; Chordata; Mammalia; Primates; Hominidae.
GGCUUGAGCCCAGGAGUUGGAGGUUGCAGUGAGCUGAGAUCACGCCACUGCACUCCAGCCUAGCGACAGAGCAAGACUCCAUCUAAAAAAAAAAAAAAAAAAAAAAGAAGCACCUUCUCUUCAGGCUGGAGAAGCAGCGUAGCUAACACAAGUCCAGUCCUUGUGAUGUGGUUGGUAAUUGGGGAUGGCCAGGCUGAAGCAGAGAGUCCUAGAGAAAUCUCGAUACAAGCUUCAAAGCAACACCUAGACACUGCUCUAGCAGUUGAUCCUGGAGAUAAACCAACAAGAGAGAGAUGGAAGAGAAAUACUAAAUGAGGUCAAAGA